ACACUGUUCAUGGGUUACCGCGGCUGCUGGCACGGAGUUAGCCGGUGCUUCUUCUGUGAGUGAUGUCCUUCCUGCCGGUUAUUGACCCGCAGGCCUUCUUCCUCACUGAAAGUGCUUUACAACCCGAAGGCCUUCUUCACACACGCGGCAUGGCUGGAUCAGGGUUGCCCCCAUUGUCCAAUAUUCCCCACUGCUGCCUCCCGUAGGAGUCUGGGCCGUGUCUCAGUCCCAGUGUGGCUGAUCAUCCUCUCAGACCAGCUACGGAUCGUCGCCUUGGUGAGCCGUUACCUCACCAACCAGCUAAUCCGACAUAGGCUCAUCCGAUAGCGCGAGGCCCGAAGGUCCCCCGCUUUCCCCCGUAGGGCGUAUGCGGUAUUAGCCUGGGUUUCCCCAGGUUAUCCCCACUACCGGGCAGAUUCCUAUGCAUUACUCACCCGUCCGCCGCUCGCCACCAGGGAGCCAAGCUCCCCGUGCUGCCGCUCGACUUGCAUGUGUUAGGCCUGCCGCCAGCGUUCAAUCU
Molecule: ribosomal RNA, 520 nt
Filed under: uncultured bacterium
Lineage: Bacteria
Description: partial 16S ribosomal RNA
Source: RNAcentral